GGCGUAUUGGUUGUAAACCCCUUUUGAUAGGGAAGAGGUUAUGACGGUACCUAUGGAAUCAGCAUCGGCUAACUCCGUGCCAGCAGCCGCGGUAAUACGGAGGAUGCAAGCGUUAUCCGGAAUUAUUGGGCGUAAAGCGUCCGUAGGUGGUUGUUCAAGUCUCCUGUUAAAGCGUGCGGCUUAACCCCAUACCGGCAGUGGAAACUGGGUGACUAGAGUGCGGUAGGGGUCGGGGGAAUUCCCAGUGUAGCGGUGAAAUGCGUAGAUAUUGGGAAGAACACCGGUGGCGCAAGCGC
Molecule: ribosomal RNA, 296 nt
Filed under: uncultured cyanobacterium
Lineage: Bacteria; Bacillati; Cyanobacteriota
Description: partial 16S ribosomal RNA
Rfam family: Bacterial small subunit ribosomal RNA
Source: RNAcentral